UGGGGAAUAUUGCGCAAUGGGGGAAACCCUGACGCAGCAACGCCGCGUGGAGGAAGAAGGCCUUCGGGUUGUAAACUCCUGUCAUUAGGGAAGAAGAAAGUGACUGUACCUAAUGAGGAAGCCACGGCUAACUACGUGCCAGCAGCCGCGGUAAUACGUAGGUGGCGAGCGUUGUCCGGAAUUAUUGGGCGUAAAGGGCGCGUAGGCGGCCUGAUAAGUCAGAUGUGAAACCCCCGAGCUCAACUUGGGGCAUGCAUUUGAAACUGUCGGGCUUGAGUGCAGGAGAGGUAAGUGGAAUUCCUAGUGUAGCAGUGAAAUGCGUAGAUAUUAGGAGGAACACCAGUGGCGAAGGCGACUUACUGGACUGUAACUGACGCUGAGGCGCGAAAGCGUGGGGAGC
Molecule: ribosomal RNA, 400 nt
Filed under: uncultured bacterium
Lineage: Bacteria
Description: bacterial SSU rRNA
Rfam family: Bacterial small subunit ribosomal RNA
Source: RNAcentral